Lolium perenne is the source of this 1257-nucleotide non-coding RNA. The record is from RefSeq and is a predicted model, not a curated record. Lineage: Eukaryota; Viridiplantae; Streptophyta; Magnoliopsida; Poales; Poaceae.
UUCCAUCAACAUCUUGACCUCUUGAAUUGAUUUUAUGCCACCAUAUUCACCAUUGGUAUUGUAUCUGUACUUCCAUCACUACCCCUCUAAACCUUGGAUCUAUCUCUUUCCAUCAUUUGUUUGCCACAAACAAAGUGAUAACAAAUUUUCCUUUUAAUGCAUAUCACUCUCACUCUCCAUUUCUAUCUCUAUGUCUCAACCUCCAUCAACAUUACCUCCUCAACAUCAUGCACAUGGAUGAUGUGCAUCUCUCUCUCAUUGUUCAUUUUUGUUUGGCAAGAAUGGAGCCGGCCAAUUUGUGUUUGCAUUCAAAAUUCGGCCAGCACUAUCUCCCCUUUUCCUUCUUAUACAAGCCAUGCCUCCCACCUACCCCAAUCCAUAAAUGGGCAGCCUCCCAACCAACUCAAUCAAUGAGGAGGCUACCUCCCAACCAACUCAAUCAAUGAGGAGGCAGCCAACCCACCCCCUCUCCCUCUAUAUAAAGGGGCUUGGCAGCCCACUCCCUCCUCACUUGCUCUCAUUUCCCACUCUCCACUCCUCUCCACUCCUCUCCUUUGCCUCAUUUCUUUUCACUCCCUACUAUUUCCUCCACUCCCUCACACUCUCCUCCUCCACUUCCCCACGAAAAUGGUGCUCCCCUUGCUCCCAUGUCCGGCCAUAGCCAUGGCAAGCCACCAAGAUGAAGCUCUCCCCCUCCCUCAAGCUCAUCCUCACCAUGAGAGCCUCCCCCUCCAUCUUCUCCCCAACCUUAGAUGGUUUAAUCUCCUCUUCUUCUCCCUCCAUUGCUAAGAUUGGAUCUUGAUGCAGGUGCAUGUUGGUCCAAGCAUGGAGAAGGUUGAGCUAUCCUCAGAUCUGAAGUUCUUGAGCAAAGUUCGUCCAAAACCUUGCAGUAAUUUCUGUUUCUUGCUGUUUCAGAUUCUGGUACGAUCUUGUAAAAUCCGCCAAAUCUCGUGUGCAGAUCCAAAUCGAGUGGUUCAAAGUUCUGCCGAUAGAUCAAGAUCUGGUCAGAUCUGACUUUGUCGAAUUAAAUCAGGAGCUUGGAAACGAAUUUUUGAAUGAAACCAGUUGGGGGAUAUUUGGUUUAUACCAUGGUGAUAACCGAGAGAGGCAAUUGCUAAGUUGUGACGCACUCAUACCUCUACUAGAUGCGAACAAUUCCGGAGAAGAAGAAGAAGUGGUUCGGACAAGGAUUUUAUUUAUAUUGACGGGAUUCUUAUAUUGAUGGAGUUGAAGAAGUACAGGGACAAAUAAGCCAAG